UGUGGCUGCUGCGGGGACUGCAUGUAACGCACAAUGCUAAGAUGACGGCCAUUUGUAGCGCCUGCCUCUUGUGUGAUCCACAUGAGAGUAAUUUGGGUGCGGCAAUCAGCGUCCUUUGGAUGAUAUCACAUCGGAAUCAUUCCUUGAAGGAUUCCCCUUUGGUUCUUCUGAGCUACAUGUAGACGGCGCAUAUUUGGUGCACUGAAGUUUCUGUGGCACCAUUUUCGUAAGUUAGCGAUGUUCCAUCGUCAUCAAACGUACAAGCACAGACCUUAAAGCAAAGUUACUGAUAAAACAAUUCGCAAAGACGGUGCUGCCAAGGUAUUACAUCAAAGGGCAUUGUACAUCGCAUUGACUAACACCACAGCAAUAUCUUGUGACAUAUUUCGCAACUUGUGUCUUCACAGUUGGCCAAAGGUACAGCAAUGGUGAAAAUUCUCAGAAAAGUACCAUUUGUUUGGUGUCUCACCUGCUGCCUUUGCUUUCUCUAUUCUG
This 495-nucleotide long non-coding RNA is filed under the name Acanthaster planci (crown-of-thorns starfish). Its description in RNAcentral is "uncharacterized LOC110982688, transcript variant X1". The record is from RNAcentral. Lineage: Eukaryota; Metazoa; Echinodermata; Asteroidea; Valvatida; Acanthasteridae.